Molecule: ribosomal RNA, 201 nt
Filed under: uncultured bacterium
Lineage: Bacteria
Description: partial 16S ribosomal RNA
Rfam family: Bacterial small subunit ribosomal RNA
Source: RNAcentral
UACGUAGGGUGCAAGCGUUGUCCGGAAUUAUUGGGCGUAAAGAGCUCGUAGGCGGUUUGUUGCGUCGGCUGUGAAAUCCCGAGGCUCAACCUCGGGUCUGCAGUCGAUACGAGCAAACUAGAGUGUUGCAGGGGAGACUGGAAUUCCUGGUGUAGCGGUGAAAUGCGCAGAUAUCGUAAGGAAGACCAGUGGCGAAGGCGG